Molecule: transfer RNA, 85 nt
Filed under: Candidatus Altimarinota bacterium
Lineage: Bacteria; Candidatus Altimarinota
Description: tRNA-Tyr
Rfam family: tRNA
About the family: Transfer RNA (tRNA) molecules are approximately 80 nucleotides in length.
Source: RNAcentral
GGGCAGAUUCCAGAGCGGUCAAAUGGAAGAGACUGUAACUCUCUUAGCUUUGCUUUCGCGGGUUCGAAUCCCCCUCUGCCCACCA